UACGAAGGACCCGAGCGUUAUCCGGAUUUAUUGGGGUUAAAGGGUGCGUAGGCGGACAUGCAAGUCAGUGGUGAAAUCUCCCUGCUCAACAGGGAAACUGCCAUUGAAACUAUGUGUCUUGAGUACAUUUGAGGCGGGCGGAAUGUGUCAUGUAGAGGUGAAAUUCUUAGAUAUGACACAGAACACCAAUUGCGAAGGCAGCUCGCUAAACUGUAACUGACGCUGAGGCACGAAAGCGUGGGGAUCAAACAGG
This 253-nucleotide ribosomal RNA is filed under the name uncultured bacterium. RNAcentral describes it as "partial 16S ribosomal RNA". It matches the Rfam family "Bacterial small subunit ribosomal RNA", at positions 524 to 776 of the family's 1533-position model. The record is from RNAcentral.